This 638-nucleotide ribosomal RNA is filed under the name uncultured bacterium. RNAcentral describes it as "bacterial SSU rRNA". It matches the Rfam family "Bacterial small subunit ribosomal RNA", at positions 8 to 605 of the family's 1533-position model. The record is from RNAcentral.
AGAGUUUGAUCCUGGCUCAGGACGAACGCUGGCGGCGUGCCUAAUACAUGCAAGUCGAGCGAGCUUGCCUAGAUGAUUUUAGUGCUUGCACUAAAUGAAACUAGAUACAAGCGAGCGGCGGACGGGUGAGUAACACGUGGGUAACCUGCCCAAGAGACUGGGAUAACACCUGGAAACAGAUGCUAAUACCGGAUAACAACACUAGACGCAUGUCUAGAGUUUGAAAGAUGGUUCUGCUAUCACUCUUGGAUGGACCUGCGGUGCAUUAGCUAGUUGGUAAGGUAACGGCUUACCAAGGCAAUGAUGCAUAGCCGAGUUGAGAGACUGAUCGGCCACAUUGGGACUGAGACACGGCCCAAACUCCUACGGGAGGCAGCAGUAGGGAAUCUUCCACAAUGGACGAAAGUCUGAUGGAGCAACGCCGCGUGAGUGAAGAAGGGUUUCGGCUCGUAAAGCUCUGUUGGUAGUGAAGAAAGAUAGAGGUAGUAACUGGCCUUUAUUUGACGGUAAUUACUUAGAAAGUCACGGCUAACUACGUGCCAGCAGCCGCGGUAAUACGUAGGUGGCAAAGCGUUGUCCGGAUUUAUUGGGCGUAAAGCGAGUGCAGGCGGUUCAAUAAGUCUGAUGUGAAAGCCUUC